This 492-nucleotide ribosomal RNA is filed under the name uncultured bacterium. RNAcentral describes it as "bacterial SSU rRNA". It matches the Rfam family "Bacterial small subunit ribosomal RNA", at positions 28 to 507 of the family's 1533-position model. The record is from RNAcentral.
GAUGAACGCUAGCUACAGGCUUAACACAUGCAAGUCGAGGGGAAACGAUAUUGGAAGCUUGCUUCCGAUAGGCGUCGACCGGCGCACGGGUGAGUAACGCGUAUCCAACCUGCCCGUCACUUGGGAAUAACCUUGCGAAAGUAAGACUAAUGCCCAAUGACAUUUAUAGAAGGCAUCCGAAAUGAAUUAAAGAUUUAUCGGUGAUGGAUGGGGAUGCGUCUGAUUAGCUUGUUGGCGGGGUAACGGCCCACCAAGGCGACGAUCAGUAGGGGUUCUGAGAGGAAGGUCCCCCACAUUGGAACUGAGACACGGUCCAAACUCCUACGGGAGGCAGCAGUGAGGAAUAUUGGUCAAUGGGCGAGAGCCUGAACCAGCCAAGUAGCGUGCAGGAUGACGGCCCUAUGGGUUGUAAACUGCUUUUAUAAGGGAAUAAAGUGAGAGUCGUGACUCUUUUUGCAUGUACCUUAUGAAUAAGGACCGGCUAAUUCCGUG